This 434-nucleotide ribosomal RNA is filed under the name uncultured bacterium. RNAcentral's name for it is "partial 16S ribosomal RNA". It matches the Rfam family "Bacterial small subunit ribosomal RNA", at positions 29 to 507 of the family's 1533-position model. The record is from RNAcentral.
AGCGAACGCUGGCGGCAGGCCUAACACAUGCAAGUCGAACGAACCAGGCGGGGUUAGUGGCGGACGGGUGAGGAACACGAGGGAACGUUCCUGUAGGGGCGGAAUAACUCAGGGAAACGUGUGCUAAUACCGAAUGUGCCCUUCGGGGGAAAGAUAUAUCGCCUUUAGAGCGGCCCGCGUCUGAUUAGCUAGUUGGUUGAGGUAAUGGCUCACCAAGGCGACGAUCAGUAGCUGGUCUGAGAGGAUGAUCAGCCACCUUGGGACUGAGACCCGGCCCAAACUCCUACGGGAGGCAGCAGUGGGGAAUCUUGCGCAAUGGGCGAAAGCCUGACGCAGCCAUGCCGCGUGAAUGAUGAAGGUCUUAGGAUUGUAAAAUUCUUUCACCGGGGACGAUAAUGACGGUACCCGGAGAAGAAGCCCCGGCUAACUUCGUG